UACGGGGGGGGCAAGCGUUGUUCGGAAUUACUGGGCGUAAAGGGUGCGUAGGCGGCUUUCUAAGUUGGAUGUGAAAACUAUGGGCUCAACCCAUAGCCUGCAUCCAAAACUGGAGAGCUUGGGUUCUGGAGGGGAAAGCGGAAUUCCUGGUGUAGCGGUGAAAUGCGUAGAUAUCAGGAGGAACACCGGUGGCGAAGGCGAGUCCCUGGACAAUUCCUGACACUGAGGCACGAAAGCUAGGGGAGCAAACAGG
Molecule: ribosomal RNA, 253 nt
Filed under: uncultured bacterium
Lineage: Bacteria
Description: partial 16S ribosomal RNA
Rfam family: Bacterial small subunit ribosomal RNA
Source: RNAcentral